GUACACGCUGUGACUAGCAUAUCAAUAAGCGGAGGAAAAGAAACUAACAAGGAUUCCCUCAGUAACGGCGAGUGAAGCGGGAAGAGCUCAAAUUUGAAAUCUUGAAAGGUCACCUUUCACGAAUUGUAGUUUAAAGAAGUGUUUUCUGUUACGAUCGUAAUAUAAGUCCUUUGGAAUAGGACAUCACAGAGGGUGAGAAUCCCGUCUAUGAUUGCGAUUUGUAGCUUUGUGAUACACUUUCAAAGAGUCGGGUUGUUUGGGAAUGCAGCCCAAAACGGGAGGUAAAUUUCUUCUAAGGCUAGAUAUUGGCGAGAGACCGAUAGCGAACAAGUACCGUGAGGGAAAGAUGAAAAGAACUUUGAAAAGAGAGUUAAACAGUACGUGAAAUUGUCAAAAGGGAAGCGUUUGACACCAGUGUUGUUUUCUCGAAAAUCAAUUAAAAAUGGCUCGAUUUUGUAUUGCUUGAGACCUUAAAAGCUCACUGUACAUUUUUCGUGUCUUUUUUAAUGCACUUUUCGUUUAACAAGUCAACAUCAGUUUCUUUUGUUGUAAAAGGGUCAUUGGAAGGUGGCUUUCUUUUCGGAGAAAGUGUUUAUAGCCUUUGGCCUCUGCAAUCGGAGAGACUGAGGUCUGCAGCGUAGACUCUUCGGGGUUAGAUACAUUUGUGCUAAGUUAUAGCUUUUUAUAGACAACUUGUUGACUAUAAUUAGUCUUGUAGCUUACUCGCUUAUGCUAUUUUACCUACGCUUAGGAUGUUGAGUAGCGACAUACGCAC
RNAcentral lists this ribosomal RNA (775 nucleotides) under uncultured Neocallimastigales. RNAcentral's name for it is "partial large subunit ribosomal RNA". It matches the Rfam family "Eukaryotic large subunit ribosomal RNA", at positions 22 to 649 of the family's 3401-position model. The record is from RNAcentral. Lineage: Eukaryota; Fungi; Neocallimastigomycota; Neocallimastigomycetes; Neocallimastigales.